This 1387-nucleotide ribosomal RNA is filed under the name Pediococcus pentosaceus. RNAcentral's name for it is "bacterial SSU rRNA". It matches the Rfam family "Bacterial small subunit ribosomal RNA", at positions 27 to 1389 of the family's 1533-position model. The record is from RNAcentral. Lineage: Bacteria; Bacillati; Bacillota; Bacilli; Lactobacillales; Lactobacillaceae.
GAACGAACUUCCGUUAAUUGAUUAUGACGUACUUGUACUGAUUGAGAUUUUAACACGAAGUGAGUGGCGAACGGGUGAGUAACACGUGGGUAACCUGCCCAGAAGUAGGGGAUAACACCUGGAAACAGAUGCUAAUACCGUAUAACAGAGAAAACCGCAUGGUUUUCUUUUAAAAGAUGGCUCUGCUAUCACUUCUGGAUGGACCCCCGCGCGGGCGUAUUUUAGCUAGUUUGGUGAGGUAAAGGCUCACCCAAGGCAGUGAUAUCGUAGCCGACCUGAGAGGGUAAUCGGCCACAUUGGGACUGAGACACGGCCCAGACUCCUACGGGAGGCAGCAGUAGGGAAUCUUCCACAAUGGACGCAAGUCUGAUGGAGCAACGCCGCGUGAGUGAAGAAGGGUUUCGGCUCGUAAAGCUCUGUUGUUAAAGAAGAACGUGGGUAAGAGUAACUGUUUACCCAGUGACGGUAUUUAACCAGAAAGCCACGGCUAACUACGUGCCAGCAGCCGCGGUAAUACGUAGGUGGCAAGCGUUAUCCGGAUUUAUUGGGCGUAAAGCGAGCGCAGGCGGUCUUUUAAGUCUAAUGUGAAAGCCUUCGGCUCAACCGAAGAAGUGCAUUGGAAACUGGGAGACUUGAGUGCAGAAGAGGACAGUGGAACUCCAUGUGUAGCGGUGAAAUGCGUAGAUAUAUGGAAGAACACCAGUGGCGAAGGCGGCUGUCUGGUCUGCAACUGACGCUGAGGCUCGAAAGCAUGGGUAGCGAACAGGAUUAGAUACCCUGGUAGUCCAUGCCGUAAACGAUGAUUACUAAGUGUUGGAGGGUUUCCGCCCUUCAGUGCUGCAGCUAACGCAUUAAGUAAUCCGCCUGGGGAGUACGACCGCAAGGUUGAAACUCAAAAGAAUUGACGGGGGCCCGCACAAGCGGUGGAGCAUGUGGUUUAAUUCGAAGCUACGCGAAGAACCUUACCAGGUCUUGACAUCUUCUGACAGUCUAAGAGAUUAGAGGUUCCCUUCGGGGACAGAAUGACAGGUGGUGCAUGGUUGUCGUCAGCUCGUGUCGUGAGAUGUUGGGUUAAGUCCCGCAACGAGCGCAACCCUUAUUACUAGUUGCCAGCAUUAAGUUGGGCACUCUAGUGAGACUGCCGGUGACAAACCGGAGGAAGGUGGGGACGACGUCAAAUCAUCAUGCCCCUUAUGACCUGGGGCUACACACGUGCCUAACAAUGGAUGGUACAAACGAAGUCCCGCCGAGACCGCGAGGUUAAGCUAAUCUCUUAAAACCAUUCUCAGUUCGGACUGUAGGCUGCAACUCGCCUACACGAAGUCGGAAUCGCUAGUAAUCGCGGAUCAGCAUGCCGCGGUGAAUACGUUCCCGGGCCUUGUACACA